This 336-nucleotide long non-coding RNA is filed under the name Eucalyptus grandis. RNAcentral describes it as "long non-coding RNA (EGRA_LNC001772)". The record is from RNAcentral. Lineage: Eukaryota; Viridiplantae; Streptophyta; Magnoliopsida; Myrtales; Myrtaceae.
UCUCUCUAUCUCUGUUCUCGAACCUCUGCGGCGAAUUCCUUCUCUCUAUAACUGAAGAGUAUGAACGCGCCAUAAGCGUCGUCGUCUUCGUCGUCAUCGUCAUCAUCAACGGGAUUCCUCCCAUCGCCCCUCCUCUCCCACCGCAUGGCCUUCCACAACCACCUCUCCCACCAGGACCUCUCCUCCCUCCACCACUUCGCCGCCGACCAGCAGCCGCCGCCGCCGCAGCACCAGCAGCAGCAGCAGCACCUGCCGGACUCCUCCUCCUCCGUCCACCACCAGCUCCACCACGCCGCCGGCCCCAACUGGCUCAACACCGCCCUCCUCCGCUCCGAC